UUGCUCAUUCAACAAAUAUUUAUUGAAUGUGUGCUUGAGCCAAGCUUUCUUCUAGGUGCUGGGAAUGCACCAACAAAGGACAUGAUUGCAUUCAAGCAGGAGAGAUGGGCAACAUGCAGGUUGAUAUCUAAUAUUUUGUUGAAGAGAAACAGCCCAGUAGGGAGACUGGACACAGACGGGCAGGUGGCAAGGGGUCCAUUGGUGUAAGAUGCACAGAAGCUACAGUUACAGUGGCAUUUGCAAGAAGGAAGAAGGUAAGUAAGGAAACUCUGUGAGAAGAAAGUGUCUCAAGACAGGAAGCAGCAAAGGCAGAGCUCCUGAAGAGUCACACUGGGAGAGCAGCAAGUAGCCGGCAUGGCAAGCACAGACUUAGAAGGGAGAGCAGAGAAAUAGUAGAGGGAGGCCAGGCGUGGAGUCUGAUGGGUUUUACUCUGAAGAAUGUCACAGUCACUAAAUGUUGGCCCAGGGGAGGUGUCCUAACUCUGUAAGGCUCCUAAGAGGAGGCAGCUCCAAAUGUGGGGACCUGGGUUAGAUAUUAGUCAACAACAGAGAGCCCCAUGAGGUGGAGAAAAGAAAGGGGGAAGACGUGGGUCUUUCUAUAUAGUAAUUUAGCACCCACCAUUCCUGAGCUGCAAUAUACCCAGAGAAGCCUAUGACUAAAAUUUCUGCCUCUCUUGUCUUGUCUCGUCCUUAGAGGAGGGAUUGGAUUUAACCCCAAUGUGAAAUAGCUGAGGAUGGAGAAAGGAUAAUGAGGAAGAAUGUCACCAAGAACUAGCUCUACAAGUUGAUGUUUGUGUUAUUUUUGGUUUUUCUUGGUUGGUUGGUUGGGUGAGUGGGUGGGUGGGUUUUGGUUGCUUUUUAAGACAGUCUCACUUUGUAGUCCAGGCUAGCCCAAAACUCACAGUGAUCCCCCUGACUCUACAUCUUACCAUCUUUCUAUCCCUCCAGCAACAUUUUACAGCUUUUGUCAACACUAUUGUCCCUCAUCCACUACUGAUUCCAUCCAAUGGAGAGAAGAGAGACCCUAUCCUGCUAGCCAGAGACCCCUAAGCAACAAUCAGGAGGUGAUACCUUCCUCCCUGAAGAAGUUACUUGGGGAUCUAUGUUUAGUAAACAGAGACAAGUAGCUAAUCAUAAAAGGCUCUGCCUCUCCCCAAUGUAUCCUCUAAAGCCAAGAAUGGUGGCAGCAAGAACCCCAUGUCCUCUAAGAGCCAAGUCAGACUUCCAUUCAGAGAGCUCAGUCCUAAAGCAAAUUGAAAGCCCUCAGCAAGAAAUUGUUCCUGAGCUGGAAGCUAGAGAGGCACACUGUGUUCUCUUACCCCCUCAGAAGUGACAUGCCCCUUCCUUUUCCAAUGUCCCCUUUCUGCCUGGAACAUGAGGAGGACCACAGUUGGCCCUCCCCCCAGCUAGAGCUGGUGACUCAGAGGCCACCUGCAUCCAUUUUCCAGCUCUGCCUGUGGCACAUCCUCUGCCCUUGCCUCCAAGCCACCAGCGAGCGGUGCCCUCUGCCUGGGCUACAUCUGAACACUGAAGCAUUCUUCUGGGAUUCGUCACUUUCUGAGAGGGAUUACAUAAAGAGGAGCUGUUUCCAGGACAGAGCAAGGACUAGCCAGUGGAAUUUAGAACAAUCCUCGGAAAAGCCAGUCCCCUAGAGAAGGGAAAAUUCCCCUGCUCUAGCAGACUCAUCGUUUGCGAGCAACCCUGAGGUUGGAGGGACCCUCAGAUGAGAAGGGUAGCAGAGAAUCCCAACCCCUGAGCCAUGUGCUCUGAAGUUUGCAGGGCCUGGACACUAGAGCCAGCUUGUGGGAAUGGGAUGAGAAGGCUCUCACUGUCCUGCCUCUUCUCAGUGAGCAUACCUUCCAGCCUGCAGCUCUUUGGUACCAACCUCAUGUUCCCCCAUUGUCCCAUCUGCAGAGAUGCUCAGAUGCUUCCUGAGUAUCUACAAGAGCAGCCAAAGCUGAGCUCUGAACGCUUGGUCCCACCCUUCAAAGCUUCCCUGCUUGCUACCUCCAUCAAAUGGCUCCUGGUUAGAGCAGUCUGGGAGUCAGGCAUGAAGUCCCCUGACCAUUAAACUGGACUUCCUGCACUUCACUCAGCAGCAUCUCCAGUGACAUGAGCCCAAGCCAUCAUCCACUUCCCCUUAAGCCCCUUUUGUUGAAACUUCCUGACCCUGUUCACCUUCACCUCACUUCAUCUUACUCUUCCACCAGCUGUUCUUCAGCUGGUCUUUCUGUAACAUAUUUUCUUUGCUCCCCUGGGAGAUUUUUCUUUUUUAAAGAUGGUGUUUCACUAUGUAGCUCAGGUUAACCACAAAUUCAAUGUAGCCAAGGAUGACUUUGAACUCCUGAUUCUCUUGCCUCCACCACCUAAGCCCUGGGAUUUUCGGUGUGUAUCACCUGGCCUUAACAUUUCCUUUUUUUCCCCUGUGUGUCUGUGUGUAUGUUGUUGCUCCUCUAGCUCAUCCCUCAGAUCUCAACCUCAGAAAGCUGGUGCUGACACCCUCCCUAACUUCUUGCUCUCUUUUGCUAUCCUGUUUAUUUACUAUAUAGCAUUUGGCCAGCUUGUGUUGAGCACACUUUAAUAAUAAUUAUAAGCUUGUGUGUUUCUUGUCAAUCUCCCUACUAUUGCUUCUUAUGGGUAUAGAUUGGAGGUAGGCACAUCAGAGAGCUCUGGGAGACAGAAAUGGAGCUCAGUGGAGACAAGACUCAAUGAGAGAAGAAACCAUUUCUCACACCAUGUUUCUAUGGUCCAUCUCAAAUCAUGACCUAGGACCUCCUAGAUGGAUGGAGGAUGGAUGAAUGGGUGAUAUAUAUGUAAUACAUGAAUGGUCGGUGGAUAGAGGGAUGAUGGCCUGAUAGGAGAAUUCUAGAUUUUAGCAUAAAGUAACAGAAAUCCUGUUUAAGACAUUGGGAGUAGUUAAGAAAGACUCUGUAGCUACAGAAAGACCCAUUCCUGGGUUGGAGACCCAUUUCAUAAAUUCGGACAAUGUCAUUCCAAAUCCUGGACGAGAAAACUCAUCCAUGAGUACACUCAGGAAAUACCUUCCUGAAGAAUGAGAUGGAAAAUGAAAACCAAAUGGCUGAGGAAUGCUGCCUGCUUUUCUCAUUCUUCGCUGGGGGCAGAGCUGCUUGGACUCAACUGAAUCACGGGUUGAUGAGCUGAAGCAGGAUGACCGACAAUACUCUGGGACAUGUUUACAUGACAGAACUUGGUUUUGCAAUAUCAGCAUCAUUCCUUGGAACAUCAGGGACAAAUUCCAGAGGAGAAGGCUUUCUAUCUAUGGACUCCCAGUGACUCAUGCAACCAACACAAGGGACACAAAUGGCUAUUGGUCACAGCUCAAUGGAUCAGGCAACUCAGACUAUGCCAAAUGUUAUCAGAAUGAGCUCACAUAGAAACUUCAAGAAUACUCAGUGAGAGGCAGAAGAUAGUGGCUGCCUCAUCUGCACACUACCACAUUCCUUUAUCCUGCCUAACCUAUGUGGUGAGAGAAAUGACUUACUAUGAUGUUUGGGAAAUCAAACCCAACCCCAACACUACCAAAGAAGAACUAAAAAAGACUACAAGCCAAAUGUUGUCUCUGAUACCAAGAGAAUUGUGUAACAAAGGAGGCAAACAGGUAAUUUAGGAGGAGAGAAGGUGAUACUGGGGUUCUCUUGUAGACAUCUUUGAUGUUUUCUGGAGGAGACAGAGGGAGGAUGCAGAGACAAAAGAGAAGUAAACAUGUUGCGUGUGAACUACAAUAACCUUGGACUUACACAAGGAUGCAACAAGACUGGCUUUGCAAAAGAAUGUGCUUUGUGACAAAUGUGAAAACCGUCAUGGUAAAAAAGGAGCUAUGGCAUACUGGCCCAACUGCAGAGAUAGUGGGAUCCAAAUUUGGAUUCUCAGAAAGGAUGGGGAAUGGUUCCAGAAAUUCAGUCUGUGUGCAUGGAGUACCAGAGCUAUGGAGACUUUCCACCCCACUUAAAGACAGAUGUAAAGGCUGCAAUAGAAAGGAGACUGGGAGAAGAUUCUAGAAGACUGUGUUGACUGGGAAUUUUUGUCAACUUAAUACAAGCUAGACUCAUCUGAGAAGAGAUAAUCUCAAUUGAGAAAAUGCCACCAUCAGACUGGCCUGCAUAUAGGCCUGAAGGGAAUUUUCUUGGUUGAUGACUGAUAUGGAAGGGCCCAGCACACUAUGAGCAGUGCCAUCCCUGGGCACUGGGGUGUAUAAGAAACCAACUAAGCAAGCCUGAAGGAGCAAGCCAGCAUGUUGUCACAGUGAUGAGAAAAUAACUAAUGCAGAGUCCCACCCUCAGUGACCCACAUCUGCCAGGCUCGUGUGUUUGAACACUCGGUCCCCAGCCGGUAGUGCUGUUUGGGGAGGUGAUAAGAUCUUUGAUACACGGGGCUCAGCUGCUGAAUAUAAGCCUCUUGGGCCCUGCAUCGUACCUAAGAUCUCUAUUUCCUGAUGUACUGAGAUGUGAACAAGCUGUGCUGCAAGCUUCUACCUCCAUGACCAAGCUGCUUCAGCCCCCAUACUUUGCCUGCCAUGAUGGACUGUAUUUGCCUGAGCCAAGAGCCGAUGUAACCUUCUCCCAUAGCUGCUUCUAUCAGAGAUUUGAUCACGGUGAUAUAAAAGUAACUAAUACAGACAGCCAGGCUGGUUGGCAGCAAUGACAGAAAGGAAGGGGGUCAGAGAGCCAGGAGAAGCUGCACUGUGAUGCCUAACAGGGAGCAGACCCAAGGGUUGCAAAUGGUCAUAGAGCCCCAAACUGGCUGAGUUCGGGAGGCAUAGCCAAGUGCACCAGGAAGGGGGAGGAAGGGCUCAGGCUAGUGGGUGCACACCACAGAAAAACAGGAAGGACUCCAACUCACUCAGCCCACUGCUCCUUACAAUGAGUUUUCCAGUGGAAUAUAGCUGAAGCCACUUUUGGUAUGGGCUCCAGACUGGAGGUAGGAGUGGCUCCAGCCACUAGGUGCUACAGAGAGAGAGACAACAGGUAUACAUGCCACAGACAGCAUCCUGGGAAAUGUUAGCUUUAUACCCCACCCCAAGACAGAGGAGUAAGAGUAAUGUGGUUGCUCAGUAGCUGUGGUGGUUUGAAUAAGAAUGCCCCCCAUAGGCUCAUAGAUUUGAAUGCUUAGUCACCAGGAGUGGUACUAUUUGAAAGAAUUAAGAGGUUUGGCUUUGUUGGAGUAGGUGUGGCCUUGUUGGAGGAAGUGUGUCACUGUGGGUGGGCUUUGGGGUUUCAAAAGCCCAAGCCAGGCCUGGUGGUUCUCUCUGCCUCUUGCCUGUGGAUCCAGAUGCAGAACUCUCAGUUACCUCUCCAGCACCACGUCUGCCUGCACACUGUCAUGCUCCUUACCGUGAGGAUAGUGGACUAAACAUCUGAACUGGCCUUUCCAUGAACAUGAAAUCCACAGAUUCUGCUAACCUGACUUAAGGAUUCACCUCUCUCCACCUCCCCUAUGCUGGGAUCACAAGACAUAAGCCACUGCCCCCAGCUGUAAAAAAAUGGGUGCCGGGGAGCUGAACUCAGGACUUCGUGCUUGUGGGACAAGCAUUUACCCAGUCUCCAGCCUCAAGAGCUGGAAUUUCCACAUUACUUUCCUUGGCUGCAAUAACUUGCUGGCUGUGUGGCCUUGAGUUAAACACUCAUCCUCUCUGGGCCAUAGUGCCCUCCGAAAACAAGGGACUAAUAAGGGCUUCCUUGCUGUCAUCAGGACUUAACUGAGUAUGCCUGGGAAAGAGCUUUGUAAAUAGUGUCAUUGUCUCCUUCCCUCCAGAGCUCUCAGGGUAGAGCCUGCAGCCUCAGUUGGAACUCAGUCAGGAAUCAACCCCCGUUGAUGAGAAAAACACCACCAGAAGUCACAAAAAAACAAAACAGUUUUCUUGCCAGAAGACAGAAGGGGAGAACGGCUGUUCCGAUGGCCGUGAACCUUCACCAAGUUCAGGUUCAGAGUGAAGUCUACCCCAAUACUAUUUGUUCACACCAUUUAUUCUCAAAACUAUUAUUUGACAGCAGAAGUCAUUUCCUCCAGACACUAUCAAGAGGGCCCCUGGCUAUCAUCUGCAUUCCUUUAGUCAAGAUUUCUUCUUCUGGAGCAGACAAUUCUAGGCAAAGUUGAGCCGACCUGCUUCUAUGGAUAUGACACCUGAAAGGCCAAGGCCAGAGAAGGUUCACUGGAAGCCUGAAGAGGGAGGCAGCAGGCCAGUACUAAGAAAGCACAAAGGCCUGAAGACAGAGACAUUUAUUUCUGGCCCCAACUCAAAGCCAAGACCUUGGACGAGUCCUCUGUCCUCUAGGCAGAGGAGUGGCUUGUUUUCCCAUCUACAACACACAGGCUUCCUGGAUCCUCUCCCAAGGCCUUGCUAACUCUUCCUCAUGCUAUUCUGGGAGAGGUACAGCGUUGACAUGAUAGUUGUGAUUUAUCUGAGAGAGUUUUCAGAGAAAGGAAUCCAACAAGAACCUAGAGACUACAGACUAGGACAAAUGGGAAUAUUAGAAGCCCUGGCCAAAAGGGCAGAGAGACAGAGCUAGAGUGAUUGGUUUAUAGGGCAAAGUGAGGAAGAUGGGUCUGGGAUUCAGAUACAAGACACACCAAGAAGCGAAGGGAAGAGAAGUUGUCUGAACCCAGGCUCAGCAAGCCAGUGUCUCCCCUGAUGCAUACAAUCUAGGAGCAAAAUACAGAAGCCUGUUGUCUCCAAGCAAAGGGAAGGGAAUUAGUAAGGCUGUAACAGGGGCCAUUGUAUUGAUGGAUUGAUUGAUGGAUCAAUUGAUUGAUGAUUGAUUUGGGGGGGUGUGCAUGUUCACAUGUAUGCAAGUACCUGUGGAGGCUGGUGGGUGAUAUUGAGUUACCUUCCUCAGGCCCUCAAUUGCUUCCCAUCUUUUUUUGAGACAGACUGUAUUAUUUGCUUUUCUGGUGCUGUGAUAACCAAAAGCAACUAAGAGGAGGAAAGGGUCUAGUUUAGCUCCCAGUUACAGAGAGACAGAAUCUCAUAGCAGAAAAGGCAUGGCAAAUGUAUCAGGAAGCCGGCUGAUCACAUUUUCAUCUACACAAAAGGAAGUGGGGUAAGACAAUAAAUUUAUCAAGCCCUGCCCCCCAGGGACAUACUUCCUCCAACAAGGUACCACCUCAAAAAGAUUCCAUAAUCUCCCCAAACAGCACCACCAACUGGGGACCAAGUUUUCAAAUAAAUGAGACUAUAUGGGACAUUUCUCCUUUAAACCAUCACAUAGGCUGUCUCACUGAACCUAGAGCUCACUGAUCCAGCUAGUCUGGCUAGUUAGCAAGUCUCAGUACUGGCAUUACAGAUGAACACCACUAUGCUGGGCUUUUUCCAUGGAUGCCAGGGAUUCAAGCCCAGGUCCUCAUGUUUGUACACCAAGCACUUUACUGAGUGAAGCAUCUUCCCAGCCCAAAGGGCCAUUUUUGAUUCUUGGCUGGGAUGGUAUGGCAAAAGGUGUGUAAGGGGUAUGUUUCAUCCUGAGUCUAGAGGUUUGAAAAAGUAGACUAGACAGAAGAGGGACCAUUAAAUACAUUUCAGAGGUUUGGAAAGGAUUAAGAGCGCCCAAAGUUCUGAAAAUCAUGUUUCUCACGUUUCCACAUCUCUAAGAUGAAGCCUGGGCCUCUAAAGAUCUUUCUCUCGCCCAUGAGCAAAACCAAGGAUCAUUUCACCCUCCCAGCACCCAAGUCCUCCCACCUUUCAGGAGUAGUCAAGACUCCCAGCUUGGUUCCAUACUCAAGCCUCAGGGAGGAGCUGUCUCUGAGAGCCUGGGAGCCCACAGGUGAGGCCCAGCAGGAGGAGAAAAGAGACCUCCUGCUGUUAGCUCUCAGAGUCUUGGGCUGACUUCCCAAGCUGGCUUCCUGUACUUUGCUGCAGUUCUAACAUGUAGCCCCAAAAGACAGACAGAAGAAAGCUCAUUUUGGGGUUUCUCCUUAAUCCAGGAAUGAUGCCCACCAUGUCAUUGGGUCCAUUUGUUACCAGAAUUGUUGGGGUCGAGCCUGGACUGGCUACCCUAACAAGCUAGGAUCAACUAUCUGUCCUCAACAGGCCAAUUGUACAGACAAAUAGCAUUGAAAAGCAGAGGAGGGAAACACAUUUGACAAAACUGCAAUUGGGAAGAUAGGUGAUAAGGCGGCUCAGUGACCAACCUUGUCCAUCAUCAGAGUUUUAAUAAAUGGCUAUGGAUAUUGUAACUAAGGAAUCCAGGCUAUCCUGCUGACAAGAAGUCACCCUCUGGUGACAUCUUUUCCUGGCUGGCACCAGAAGUCAGCCUUUCCUUUCUCCAGCAUGAGAUUCCUGGGGAAAUUCCAAUUCCUGAAGUCCAUUGUUAAAGUAGUAUGAUAGCCAAAGCAAGAGGCACACACCUGUAAUCUCAGUACUUAGCAGAUAGAGAAAGGGAACUCCAAAGUUCAAGGUUAUCCUCAGCUACAGAGCAAGUUUGAGGCCAGCCUGGGCCACUUAAGACAACAUAACAAAGUAAAUAUGAGCUGGCUUACCUCAUUUUGAUCUUAAAGAAUUACCUUCUGUGAAUGACACUGGCAGGCAGUUUUAUCAAGAGCCAUGUUUAGACUUAGGGAUGAGCAAGCAAAGCUAGUACUGUAAAACUCACCCUGGCCCUCAGUCAGCACAGCUCGUUUGUUAUCUGUAACAUCCUUGUUUGACAGCCCUCUAGGAAAACAUGAAUCUUGCAGGGACUCUUGGCUGCAUUAUUUGUGUUGAAGUUUCUCAACCCUCUGGCACCACAGGAAAGGCAAAUCAGAAGUCCCAGUGAAGACUCUCAUGCCCCCUUAGUUUCUUGCCUUCCUAUCCUGCCACCAUUGAACAGGAACUUCCUUCCACAAUCCCAUCUCCUAGAUGGCGGCUAUUCUCCAGGUCCCCUCUUUUUAUUCUUUACGUCUGCUUGUGGUAAAAUGCAUACAUACAGCAUGGCAUUUAUCAUUGUAGAGCUGGUGAGAUGGUUCCUCAAGUAAAGACUCCAGCCGCCAAGCCUGAUGGCUGAGUUCAAUCCCAGGGCCCAUAUGAUGGAAGGAGACUAUCGCCUCCAUAAAGUGGUCCCCUGAAGGACACCACAACUGCAUAAGCAUAUCCCAACACACAGGCAAACAAUAAAUAAUAAACAAUGGAGGUUUGUUGGUUUUGUUUUUUAAGGCACAUCCUAGGAUAGUUAAGGGUACAACAGAGAAACCCUGUCUCAAAAAGAAGUAAAACAACAACAACAAAACUACUGUAGCCAUUUUUUUAAUUUUUAUUGAUUUUUUUGUGAAUUUCACAUAAUACACCCCAAUCCCAUUCAUCUCCAUAUCCCCCCUCCAUCCUUGCUAUCUGCCCCCAAAAGAAAUAAAAAAUAAAUAAAAAUAAAAACAAAUCAAAAACUAAAAAAGAAAAACAAGCAAGCAAACAAAAACCUCAUUUCACUGUGGAGGAGUAGCCAUUUUUAAAAAGCACAAUCUAAUGGAAUUAAGUAUACUCAUCUUUUCAUUCAUCAUCUCUCCUUUCUGAAAUUGCCUACAAGUCUAAAAGUGACAGGAUCACCUUUUUUAUUAGACAGAUUCCAGGAAUUUGACUCCUCUUUGCUCCUGCACAGAGCUGUGUGGAGCUGAAGAGCAGGAGGUUCAUGCUUGGCCUCAAAUGCACCCCACUAAUGGCCAUUAUAAAUCACCCACACAUUUGCUGACUCAGCUAAAAGCCUUGGGCCCAGCAGUGGCAAGGGCUUUCUUCCUGGGGACCUGCCCAGCUAAGGGCCAGAGCUUCAGGGGAGUACAACAUAACACAUGUUAGACGCUCCAAGUCAGAUGGGGGCGCUAGAGGACUGUGACUUCCCUGGUGGUUGUCAUCUACCUGUGUGGCCCCUGCUUCCACCUCAGAAGAAGCAAGUUAUGUAAUGCCUGGCUCCUCACCUGUGAAAUUCAAAU
Molecule: long non-coding RNA, 9906 nt
Filed under: Cricetulus griseus (Chinese hamster)
Lineage: Eukaryota; Metazoa; Chordata; Mammalia; Rodentia; Cricetidae
Description: lncRNA (ENSCGRG00015031775.1)
Source: RNAcentral